Lagopus muta (rock ptarmigan) is the source of this 1293-nucleotide long non-coding RNA. RefSeq lists it as uncharacterized. Lineage: Eukaryota; Metazoa; Chordata; Aves; Galliformes; Phasianidae. The record is from RefSeq and is a predicted model, not a curated record. The transcript has 3 exons.
GAUCACGUGGCCGCGGGAGGCGGCUCGGAGCGGUCCGUCCGCCUCACGCCGCGGCCGUCGCUCGCGUGUCGCCUGAAGCGAGUCCCGCCCGCGGGCACGCGGCAGAUAUUUGAGAAACGGCGUUGUGGGAUAUGAAUCACACAGCCACAGGCAAGCAUCAGAAUGAAAGGACUCAAAUGAGCAGAAAGUGCCAGGGCAGUAAUUGCAAGGAGCUGAAAUGUACAAGUAAUGACUGCAGAUACCCAACUGCUGGUUCUAUGAGAAUGAAGUUCAGUGUAAAGCAGUCACAUGCUGUCACUGUUUGGCAUAUGUAACUAUGCAUUGCUGGAAUGGGUGUACUUCUCUGUGCCUGCAGAGAGUAGCAUAUCUCACAUGAAAGUAGUCACGGAUGAGGAGCGGUUCUCUAUCAUUUUUUCCUGAGGUGUUGCUAAAGGAGAGAAGCAAAAUGGUCUAGGUAAACCUAUUAUCAUCUGUUUUCGUCAAGUCAAUAAGUAUUUCCUAUUCAGGGAAAUCAAAUGCCGCUGAGAAAGAAAAUAAAGUGAACAUUUGGCUUUUGCCUGUUGCUGUAAGACCAUAAUUCCAUAUUGUAACAGCCUCAAAACUUGUUGAUGGCAUAAGAAGAUGUGAGAACUGGAGACAAUAUUAGAAUGACACUGUUGACAGCUUUGUAAUUAACUUGUCCUUAAGCAGCAGGUUAUUUCCCAAAUACUUGUAGGUGUACAUUAGCAGUUAGAUUUCCCAAUUCCUUUUGCAGAUCAGAAACCAAGAGGGGAUCGAUUAAAGGAAGUCUGUUUUAUGUUCCAAGAGAACAAAUGUUCUGUAAUGUUUAUAAUGUCUAGAUUAAUCUGAAAAUUUAACAGUCAUUAUUCAGUAGUCUUUAAUUUGUGCUUUUUUCUAAUAUAAGUAGCAGAUGAAGUUUGUUAGGAAAUUUGUAUUAACAAAACAAAGAUUACUAUCUCAGCAAAAGAGAGAUAUUCUAUAUCCUAACACAGUAUGCCCAAGGAGUCACUUCUGCUAUUUUCAAGUUCUGUUACCAAUCAGAACCAGAUGUAUGUAGCUGUCUUUUGUUCAUGUUUGGCAAAUCCUCUGAAAUGUUGAAGAUGACCAGUGGUGAUUUGAGUGGUCCUCUGCUUUGUGUUGAGACGCAGCUCUGGCAACAUCACUUUUUAUCCAAGCUCCUUUGAGCAUAUCUCUGUUCCCUUCUUCACAGACAGUCUUGCAGAUUCUGUCUGACUUACACUGUCUCCAUGCUGUCAGUGUUGAUACUUUCUAAAUGUAGAAUCUCCAUGUUUU